Molecule: ribosomal RNA, 1248 nt
Filed under: Zeacumantus plumbeus
Lineage: Eukaryota; Metazoa; Mollusca; Gastropoda; Cerithiidae
Description: partial 16S ribosomal RNA
Rfam family: Archaeal large subunit ribosomal RNA (bases 586-1248)
Source: RNAcentral
GCUACACGGUUUAAAAAUUAAAUGAAUCAAAAAUAAAGCUUGAAACAUCAAAAAGUUAAGUAAUGGAGAAAGAAAGUUAAUAAAAAUUUUAAAAAGUACUGUAAAGGAAAAAACCAAAUAUAAAAAAAUUAGUUUAGUUUUGCGUACUUUUUGCAUCACGGCUUAGCAAGAAGUAACCUGAGAUUUCAGAUUCUCGAAAGUUAGUCGAGCUAUUUUUUUCUGGGUAAGUUAGGCCCAAGAAAGUAAAACAAACUACUAAAAAUGUAGCAAAAUUUUAGUAAAAGAGAAAAAUAGAAAUGAAAUUUUAUUCGUGCUAACGAUAGCUAGUUUUCUUGGAAGCGUAUAGGAGUACGGAAGUAAGAUCAGGCUAUAAAAAUACUAGCUUUUAUAGCCUGCCUUAUAUAAAAUUCUUUUAAGGAUAAGCUUAAAAGUAGAUAGUAGUAAAUAUCUUUAAAUCUGUGAUGUGAGCCUGAGAUUAGCUAACAUUUUAAACUUGUUAUAAAGUAAUAUUAAAAAACAAAAAAAUAAAUAUAUUUUUACUCUAGUUUAUACAGGGACAAAAAAUGAAACCAUUUAAUUUAUUAGCUUAUGCUAAGAUGAGUAUUAAAACUAAAAUAUACCUUAAGAGUUUAACUAUUUUAAUUCUUAUUAACUAGAGUUUUACCUAAACUAAAUAAAAAGAAGGAACUCGGCAAAAUAAGUUGUUUCGCCUGUUUAUCAAAAACAUGGCUCUUCGUAGCAAAAAAAUGAAGAGUCGGACCUGCCCAGUGAAAAUUUUUAACGGCCGCGGUACUCUGACCGUGCAAAGGUAGCAUAAUCAUUUGCCUUAUAAUUGAAGGCUUGUAUGAAUGGUUUAACGAGAGCAACACUGUCUCCUUUUUAAUUAAUAGAAUUUAACCUUCAGGUGAAGAGGCCUGAAUUAAAUUGAAGGACAAGAAGACCCUGUUGAGCUUAAAAGAAAGGUAGAAAGUAAGCUAUUAGCUAUAAAUGCACUACUACUAUAAACUUUUUGGUUGGGGCGACUAAGGAACAAAAAAAGCUUCUUUACACAAAUAAAUUUAUAAAUAGUGAUCCAGUAAAUCUGAUUAAAAGAAUUAGUUACCACAGGGAUAACAGCAUAAUCUCUCUUGAGAGGCCUAAUCGAAAGAGGGGGUUGUGACCUCGAUGUUGGACUAGAAUAUCCUAAAGGCGCAGAAGUCUUUGAAGGUUGGUCUGUUCGACCAUUAAAAUUCUACAUGAUCUGAGUUC